This 501-nucleotide ribosomal RNA is filed under the name uncultured bacterium. RNAcentral's name for it is "partial 16S ribosomal RNA". It matches the Rfam family "Bacterial small subunit ribosomal RNA", at positions 30 to 523 of the family's 1533-position model. The record is from RNAcentral.
AUUGAACGCUGGCGGCAUGCCUUACACAUGCAAGUCGAACGGCAGCACGGGUGCUCGCACCUGGUGGCGAGUGGCGAACGGGUGAGUAAUAUAUCGGAACGUACCUUAUUGUGGGGGAUAACGCAGCGAAAGCUGUGCUCAUACCGCAUAAUCCCUCAGGGGGAAAGCGGGGGACCGUAAGGCCUCGCGCAAUUAGAGCGGCCGAUACCUGAUUAGCUAGUUGGUGAGGUAAAGGCUUACCAAGGCAACGAUCAGUAGCUGGUCUGAGAGGUCGAUCAGCCACUGUGGAACUGAGACACGGUCCAGACUCAUACGGGAGGCAGCAGUGGGGAAUUUUGGACGAUGGGGGCAACCCUGAUCCAGAAAUGCCGCGUGAGUGAAGAAGGCCUUCGGGUUGUAAAGCUCUUUUGUCAGGGAAGAAACAGCAGCUCUAACACAGUUUGCGAAUGACGGUACCUGAAGAAUAAGCACCGGCUAACUACGUGCCAGCAGCCGCCGUAA